AGUGAACGCUGGCGGUAGGCCUAACACAUGCAAGUCGAACGGCAGCACAGUAAGAGCUUGCUCUUACGGGUGGCGAGUGGCGGACGGGUGAGGAAUACAUCGGAAUCUACUUUUUCGUGGGGGAUAACGUAGGGAAACUUACGCUAAUACCGCAUACGACCUACGGGUGAAAGCAGGGGAUCUUCGGACCUUGCGCGAUUGAAUGAGCCGAUGUCGGAUUAGCUAGUUGGCGGGGUAAAGGCCCACCAAGGCGACGAUCCGUAGCUGGUCUGAGAGGAUGAUCAGCCACACUGGAACUGAGACACGGUCCAGACUCCUACGGGAGGCAGCAGUGGGGAAUAUUGGACAAUGGGCGCAAGCCUGAUCCAGCCAUACCGCGUGGGUGAAGAAGGCCUUCGGGUUGUAAAACCCUUUUGUUGGGAAAGAAAGGCAGCAGGUUAAUACCCCGCUGUUCUGACGGUACCCAAAGAAUAAGCACCGGCUAACUUCGU
This 491-nucleotide ribosomal RNA is filed under the name uncultured bacterium. RNAcentral's name for it is "partial 16S ribosomal RNA". It matches the Rfam family "Bacterial small subunit ribosomal RNA", at positions 29 to 506 of the family's 1533-position model. The record is from RNAcentral.